GGAUGUUUUAUUUUCUUUAAAUCAAGCGGGUUACAUUUCAUUCGUUUUUACACAAUCUGAUAUUUGGAGGCAUUUGCAAAUAUGCUCAUAAAUUACAUGAUUUGUAAUCCCAAAGAAUGAGGUGGUUGAUGAUCACUAUUGGGAUCAACAGUGAUCACCCUACUAAUGUAGGCAUUACGUAUGCAGGCAGAAAAAGAAAAGUUCCCAUUAAGGUCUCAUGUGAAACACCACAGGUCUGAAAUAAUCAGGAACACAUGAAAAUUGCACAAAAAUGAAUUUCUCUCCAACCUUUUGCUAAAGAGACGUUGACAGGCCCACAGAGAGCCUGGAGCUCACGGGACAACAUUCACACACAUUCUGCUUCAUGAAGAGGUCAGAUAAUCAUCAGACCAUAGACAUUACAUGUAAGGACACUGAACAUUUGGCCGGAUUACACAUAGAAAUGCAAUCCAAAACAAAAUGGGUAAAGAUAAAGCAUGUUUAUUGAUGCGGCAAACAAAGGUUCAAAUAUCCUCCAAAGCACUUCAAGCCCUCAAAGAAUGAAACUCAAAACGCAGAUGAGGUAAAAGAAGAAACUUCUAAAUUAAAGUGGAGCGACCCAGGGACAAGUCUGGUUUGGGUUAAAGAUUAUGGAUGGUUAACUUUGUGUAACGUGUUUGGACAAGCAAGUUUAGGUUUUAGGCAAGCGACUUCAGGUAUUAGGCAAGCGAGUUUAGCCAAGCGAGUACAGGCAAGCGAGUCAAGCUAAGCGAGUUUAGGUUUUAUGCAAGCGAGUUUAGGUUUUAUGCAAGCGAGUUUAGACAAGUGAGU
Molecule: long non-coding RNA, 810 nt
Organism: Gadus morhua (Atlantic cod)
Lineage: Eukaryota; Metazoa; Chordata; Actinopteri; Gadiformes; Gadidae
Exons: 3
Source: RefSeq, a predicted model, not a curated record